Long non-coding RNA from Galendromus occidentalis (western predatory mite), 433 nucleotides. RefSeq lists it as uncharacterized. The transcript is spliced from 3 exons. The record is from RefSeq and is a predicted model, not a curated record. NCBI's taxonomy places the organism in Eukaryota, Metazoa, Arthropoda, Arachnida, Mesostigmata, Phytoseiidae.
GCAGCCUCGUAGCGUUGGUGUCUACCGGAUCAGCUCGUCGUCGAAGUAUCGCAAGGUCUCCGUGCGAGUUUCCGCGGUGAAAAACUGAACAUGAACUCCGGACGUCAACUGUUCAGCGUGAGCCGGAAUGUUCUGCACCAGAAUGUGAUAAGGCGGAACAAGGGAGGCAGCGGGGAGGAGAUAAGGAAAGGCCUAGAGAAAAUAACCUCUCUCGAGGCCCCCAAUAAGGACGGAAUCCGCGUUGCGAGAGGCAUCCUCGGGAUUGUCAUGGGAUACUUGGUCCUCCGCACCGCAUGGCUGAAUUAUCAUGUCUUUCCCCUGACCGAAGACCCCGACGAUGGCUAGGCGUUCCUGUCUGCAACGAAAGGGCCGGAGUAUGUGAAGAUUCGACCGCCUGGGAGAAAAUGGCGAAUCGAGAAGAAUAAAAUAGUUA